This 111-nucleotide microRNA precursor is filed under the name Pelobates cultripes (western spadefoot toad). Lineage: Eukaryota; Metazoa; Chordata; Amphibia; Anura; Pelobatidae. The record is from RNAcentral.
UAAAGUUCCUUAAGUGAGCGCAGCGCUAUAUAAGUGCUGAGUAAGUGUGUUCCGAUAACACACUUACACUUACUCAGCACUUAUAUAGCGCUGCACUCACUUAAGGAACUU